RNAcentral lists this transfer RNA (82 nucleotides) under Oryctolagus cuniculus (rabbit). It matches the Rfam family "tRNA". Rfam says of the family: Transfer RNA (tRNA) molecules are approximately 80 nucleotides in length. The record is from Rfam by way of RNAcentral. Lineage: Eukaryota; Metazoa; Chordata; Mammalia; Lagomorpha; Leporidae.
AGAGCUGUGGCUUAGUGGGUAAAGCACCCGCCUGCCGUGCCGGCAUCCCAUAUGGGUGCCAGUUCAACUCCUGGCUGCUCCA